Molecule: ribosomal RNA, 464 nt
Filed under: Pseudomonas oryzihabitans
Lineage: Bacteria; Pseudomonadati; Pseudomonadota; Gammaproteobacteria; Pseudomonadales; Pseudomonadaceae
Description: bacterial SSU rRNA
Rfam family: Bacterial small subunit ribosomal RNA
Source: RNAcentral
AUGCAAGUCGAGCGGAUGAGAGGAGCUUGCUCCUCGAUUCAGCGGCGGACGGGUGAGUAAUGCCUAGGAAUCUGCCUAGUAGUGGGGGACAACGUUUCGAAAGGAACGCUAAUACCGCAUACGUCCUACGGGAGAAAGUGGGGGAUCUUCGGACCUCACGCUAUUAGAUGAGCCUAGGUCGGAUUAGCUAGUUGGUAGGGUAAAGGCCUACCAAGGCGACGAUCCGUAACUGGUCUGAGAGGAUGAUCAGUCACACUGGAACUGAGACACGGUCCAGACUCCUACGGGAGGCAGCAGUGGGGAAUAUUGGACAAUGGGCGAAAGCCUGAUCCAGCCAUGCCGCGUGUGUGAAGAAGGCCUUCGGGUCGUAAAGCACUUUAAGUUGGGAGGAAGGGCUCAUAGCGAAUACCUGUGAGUUUUGACGUUACCAACAAAAUAAGCACCGGAUAACUCCGUGCCCCCAG